GGAAUAAUAGCAAAGUUGGUCAAUGCGCUGGAUUGAAGCUCCAGAGAUACAGGUUCGAAUCCUGUUUGUUCCA
Molecule: transfer RNA, 73 nt
Filed under: Kordia aestuariivivens
Lineage: Bacteria; Pseudomonadati; Bacteroidota; Flavobacteriia; Flavobacteriales; Flavobacteriaceae
Description: Kordia sp. YSTF-M3 tRNA-Phe
Rfam family: tRNA
About the family: Transfer RNA (tRNA) molecules are approximately 80 nucleotides in length. Their secondary structure includes four short double-helical elements and three loops (D, anti-codon, and T loops).
Source: RNAcentral